Molecule: ribosomal RNA, 305 nt
Filed under: uncultured bacterium
Lineage: Bacteria
Description: bacterial SSU rRNA
Rfam family: Bacterial small subunit ribosomal RNA
Source: RNAcentral
GGUCCUACGGGGGGCAGCAGUGAGGAAUAUUGGUCAAUGGGCUUACGCCUGAACCAGCCAAGUCGCGUGAGGGAAGACUGCCCUAUGGGUUGUAAACCUCUUUUGUCGGGGAGCAAAUUCCGCCACGUGUGGCGGAGUCGAGAGUACCCGAAGAAAAAGCAUCGGCUAACUCCGUGCCAGCAGCCGCGGUAAUACGGAGGAUGCGAGCGUUAUCCGGAUUUAUUGGGUUUAAAGGGUGCGUAGGCGGACUGUCAAGUCAGCGGUAAAAUACGGGGGCUCAACCUCCGCCUGCCGUUGAAACUGAC